CGGGGCGUAGCGCAGCCUGGUCAGCGCGCCAGUUUUGGGUACUGGAGGCCCCCGGUUCGAAUCCGGGCGCCCCGACCA
This 78-nucleotide transfer RNA is filed under the name Azospirillaceae bacterium. Its description in RNAcentral is "tRNA-Pro". It matches the Rfam family "tRNA". Rfam says of the family: Transfer RNA (tRNA) molecules are approximately 80 nucleotides in length. Their secondary structure includes four short double-helical elements and three loops (D, anti-codon, and T loops). Further hydrogen bonds mediate the characteristic L-shaped molecular structure. tRNAs have two regions of fundamental functional importance: the anti-codon, which is responsible for specific mRNA codon recognition, and the 3' end, to which the tRNAs corresponding amino acid is attached (by aminoacyl-tRNA synthetases). tRNAs cope with the degeneracy of the genetic code in two manners: having more than one tRNA (with a specific anti-codon) for a particular amino acid; and 'wobble' base-pairing, i.e. permitting non-standard base-pairing at the 3rd anti-codon position. The record is from RNAcentral. Lineage: Bacteria; Pseudomonadati; Pseudomonadota; Alphaproteobacteria; Rhodospirillales; Azospirillaceae.